GUGCUCGCUUCGGCAGCACAUACACUAAAAUGGGAACGAUACAGUGAAGAUUAGCAUAGCCCCUGCACAAGGAUGACAACGCAUAUUCGUGAAGCGUUCCGUAUUUUU
Mustela putorius furo (domestic ferret) is the source of this 108-nucleotide small nuclear RNA. NCBI's taxonomy places the organism in Eukaryota, Metazoa, Chordata, Mammalia, Carnivora, Mustelidae. The record is from Ensembl.